UACGGGAGGCAGCAGUGGGGAAUAUUGCACAAUGGGCGCAAGCCUGAUGCAGCCAUGCCGCGUGUAUGAAGAAGGCCUUCGGGUUGUAAAGUACUUUCAGUCGUGAGGAAGGUGUUAAGGUUAAUAACCUUAGCAAUUGACGUUAGCGACAGAAGAAGCACCGGCUAACUCCGUGCCAGCAGCCGCGGUAAUACGGAGGGUGCGAGCGUUAAUCGGAAUUACUGGGCGUAAAGGGCACGCAGGCGGUUAAUUAAGUUGGAUGUGAAAUCCCCGGGCUUAACCUGGGAAUGGCAUUCAAGACUGGUUAGCUAGAGUCUUGUAGAGGGGGUGAAUUCCAUGUGUAGCGGUGAAAUGCGUAGAGAUGUGGAGGAAUACCGGUGGCGAAGGCGGCCCCUGGGACAAAGACUGACGCUCAUGUGCGAAAGCGU
This 428-nucleotide ribosomal RNA is filed under the name uncultured bacterium. RNAcentral's name for it is "bacterial SSU rRNA". It matches the Rfam family "Bacterial small subunit ribosomal RNA", at positions 340 to 762 of the family's 1533-position model. The record is from RNAcentral.